This 253-nucleotide ribosomal RNA is filed under the name uncultured prokaryote. RNAcentral describes it as "partial 16S ribosomal RNA". It matches the Rfam family "Bacterial small subunit ribosomal RNA", at positions 524 to 776 of the family's 1533-position model. The record is from RNAcentral.
UACGGGGGGGGCAAGCGUUGUUCGGAAUUACUGGGCGUAAAGGGCGCGUAGGCGGCCUUCUAAGUCAGACGUGAAAUCCCUCGGCUCAACCGAGGAACUGUGUCUGAUACUGGAAGGCUUGAAUCCGGGAGAGGGAUGUGGAAUUCCAGGUGUAGCGGUGAAAUGCGUAGAUAUUGGGAAGAACACCGGUGGCGAAGGCGGCUCACUGGCUCGUUUCUGACGCUCAGGCGCGACAGCGUGGGGAUCAAACAGG